UGACUAUGAUGUCAUCGAAUGCUGCCAACAACAGUGCUGUUAUAUCACAAAUGAAAAGGUCUUCAAACGAACUGAGGGACCCCAUUAUGCCAAGACUGGAGCUUGUCAUAAAAAUCAUCAGUCAUUGAUGUCUGUGAGCUUCUGAGUUGGGCCUUGAGGGAAAAGAACUGUGAAAUUUGGGUUCAAUUUAGUUGUUUUGAUCUGGACUUCUUUAUGAGUAGGGAGAAUUAAAUUGGCCACAUGUGACCUUGUAUUUAGAGGAAAUCAAAUCACUCAAACAAGAUAAUUUAGCUCCUUGCUCAACAAUUCCUCCUUUUCUCUUCAACUCCAGGGUUAUUGAUUGAGGUCCUGCCUGAAUACAUUUUACUAGAGUUUAGAGAAUUGUAAUAGUUGCAUUGUUUCUCUGGUUACAACCUCAAAAUGCACUGCAGAUUUCUUCAACUGAAAUUGCUCCAAUGUUAAUAUGUUGUGGGAAUGAAAGACUGAUUUCAGCACUUAAGCUACACCACCAGAGGAAACAGCAGUGAGGAGAAACCAAGCGCGAUCAUGGGACAAGAGGUCUUUUCUUCCUGUCUUCAUCUGCUGAUCUGCUCACCUGAUAUUCACUGAGCACCAAGUUUAUGCCAGGCUGAAGUCCUGGCUGGAAUGCUUCUUGUAUCAUAUCAUUGGAGAUUGGAAGAAUUGAGAUGUUUCUUGCUGUGGUUGUCCAACCCAGCUCUAGUUUGUCAGCCAGUAUUCUGCAUGCACAAAAGUAGUGUUUAAUCUAAGAAGACUCGAGGCAAGAGAUGUCAGCUUAAUUUUGUGUAAAUAGUCUGGAAACAUGAUUUUCAUCACAGCAAGCAAAACUUGUAUAGACAUGUUUGUAAGAGGAUAUUUAUACACCACCCCAGGAUGCUCUUUCUCAACUGACAUCACCUGCAUUUAGUCCAUUUCAGUUCUUCCAUGGCUUUAUGUUUUCAAAUCAACCUGCCUGGACUCAAAAGCAGACAAAACCCAGAAGUAAACAGCAGAUAGAGAUGGAAAAAGCUCCAGAAGAAUUUCUCUCCUACAGAUUUAAGAGGAGAAAAUGAGACUCCUAAGUGUCAUAAAGAAUGUGUGUAGGUGGGAUAUCCUCUUUUUUUCUUCUGUUCUUUCCCAUCCAGCCCCAAGACAAUAAUAUGAUGGCAUGGUAGAGGUGAAGAUAAUGGGAGC
Molecule: long non-coding RNA, 1191 nt
Filed under: Homo sapiens (human)
Lineage: Eukaryota; Metazoa; Chordata; Mammalia; Primates; Hominidae
Description: HSALNT0340516
Source: RNAcentral